RNAcentral lists this ribosomal RNA (509 nucleotides) under uncultured Bacteroidales bacterium. RNAcentral's name for it is "bacterial SSU rRNA". It matches the Rfam family "Bacterial small subunit ribosomal RNA", at positions 8 to 507 of the family's 1533-position model. The record is from RNAcentral. Lineage: Bacteria; Pseudomonadati; Bacteroidota; Bacteroidia; Bacteroidales.
AGAGUUUGAUCCUGGCUCAGGAUGAACGCUAGCGGCAGGCUUAACACAUGCAAGUCGAGGGGCAUCGGGAGGAAAGCUUGCUUUCCUUGCCGGCGACCGGCGCACGGGUGAGUAACACGUAUGCAACCUGCCCUCUUCAGGGGGACAACCUUCCGAAAGGGAGGCUAAUCCCGCGUAUAUCGGUUUCGGGCAUCCGAGAUCGAGGAAAGAUUCAUCGGAAGGGGAUGGGCAUGCGGCGCAUUAGCUUGACGGCGGGGUAACGGCCCACCGUGGCGACGAUGCGUAGGGGUUCUGAGAGGAAGGUCCCCCACACUGGUACUGAGACACGGACCAGACUCCUACGGGAGGCAGCAGUGAGGAAUAUUGGUCAAUGGGAGAGAUCCUGAACCAGCCAAGCCGCGUGAGGGAAGACGGCCCUAUGGGUUGUAAACCUCUUUUGUCGGAGAACAAAACCCGGGACGUGUCCCGGACUGCGUGUAUCCGAAGAAAAAGCAUCGGCUAACUACGUG